Molecule: ribosomal RNA, 433 nt
Filed under: uncultured bacterium
Lineage: Bacteria
Description: partial 16S ribosomal RNA
Rfam family: Bacterial small subunit ribosomal RNA
Source: RNAcentral
AACGAACGCUGGCGGCAUGCCUAACACAUGCAAGUCGAACGAGACCUUCGGGUCUAGUGGCGCACGGGUGCGUAACGCGUGGGAACCUGCCCUUAGGUUCGGAAUAACUCCCCGAAAGGGGUGCUAAUACCGGAUAAUGUCUUCGGACCAAAGAUCUAUCGCCUUUGGAUGGGCCUGCGUUGGAUUAGCUAGUUGGUAGGGUAAAAGCCUACCAAGGCGACGAUCCAUAGCUGGUCUGAGAGGAUGAUCAGCCACACUGGGACUGAGACACGGCCCAGACUCCUACGGGAGGCAGCAGUGGGGAAUAUUGGACAAUGGGCGAAAGCCUGAUCCAGCAAUGCCGCGUGAGUGAUGAAGGCCUUAGGGUUGUAAAGCUCUUUUACCCGGGAUGAUAAUGACAGUACCGGGAGAAUAAGCUCCGGCUAACUCCGUG